GGGCCCGCACAAGCAGUGGAGUAUGUGGUUUAAUUCGAAGCAACGCGAAGAACCUUACCAGGUCUUGACAUCGAGUGACGAACUAAGAGAUUAGUUUUUCCUUCGGGACACGAAGACAGGUGGUGCAUGGUUGUCGUCAGCUCGUGUCGUGAGAUGUUGGGUUAAGUCCCGCAACGAGCGCAACCCUUACCUUUAGUUGCUACGCAAGAGCACUCUAAAGGGACUGCCGUUGACAAAACGGAGGAAGGUGGGG
RNAcentral lists this ribosomal RNA (253 nucleotides) under uncultured prokaryote. Its description in RNAcentral is "partial 16S ribosomal RNA". It matches the Rfam family "Bacterial small subunit ribosomal RNA", at positions 917 to 1178 of the family's 1533-position model. The record is from RNAcentral.